GGCUCUCCUGUGCCCACUAGCUCACUGC
Molecule: non-coding RNA, 28 nt
Filed under: Homo sapiens (human)
Lineage: Eukaryota; Metazoa; Chordata; Mammalia; Primates; Hominidae
Source: RNAcentral